AAUCACAAGGCAUCGUCUUGUUCAUGCAGGUUUUGGGAAAACUACCACUUGUAUGAAAUAUGUCCAUUAUCAUCAAAAUAUAGGAUUUAAAUCGGCACUGGUUUGUGCUGACACAUUGAGGGCUGGUGCUUUUGAUCAACUAAAACAGAAUGCAACAAAGAUCAUGGUUCCUUUCUAUGGAAGCUGGGGUGGAUCAAGCAGACCUGACUUUGAUUGUAGAAGUACUGAAGAAACCGAGGCUUAGAUUCUUUUGAGGAAUGGCGCAAAGCAAAGAACCUCAGUAAUUUUAUAUUGCUGAGUCAUUCUUUCGGAUGAUAUGUUGCAGCAAAGUAUGCGUUACAGGUAUCUCUACUAUUAAAGGGGGAUCUGCCGUCUGUCGUGAUAGUUCAACCUCGUACUACCCCCCUUCUAUCGCUAAAAGUCCUCCCCCACGUCCUCCCACGAUUUUUUCCAACCCUCCGAAACCAUCAUUGCAUUUUCAGGUUCAGUGGUAAAUGCUUCCAUACGUCCUUGAUCCCCGGAUAUGACUUCUUAUAUAUGUACUUUUUUGCUGGUGGAACAUAUCUCCAGCUAAUAUUUUGUCUGCUUUUAACAUGUUCUGGUUGUUGAAAAAACAAAAAAAAAUGUUACCCCUCUUUUCUUUUACAUGAUGCUCAUGUUGCAUGGUGCAGCGACUGCUUCAGGGUUACAUGAGAAAGUUGGAGUAAAUUCUUGUGGUGUAGAAUUCGAGGCUUUAGUGAAAACAGUAAGAAGGCAACAAAAACUGAGAGAAAAUUUUGAUUUUUGCUCACUAUGAUCUUUAAAUUUUGUAAGGGCAUGUGAUGUCCUCACAACAUGAGGUGGGUCGUGUCGUGUCCCGUCAAUCAACACCCACUAGAUAGGGUCAAGACUCCACUGCUGCGGCACUUCACCGGCCACCCUGUCAGGUCUAGCAAGCGAGGGAGGGGAGCAUGGCAAGCAGUGCAAGGAGCACAAGCGCGCCGAUGGCCACCCCCAUGGGAUGUGGUUGCAGAGGCUGAUGAAGAGCCUCUGCGCUAUGAGGAUGAUGUCGCAUGGCAGGGUUGAAGCGGUAGCACAGAGAGGGUUCCGAAGAGUUGGUGGCCAGGAGUAGUCAUCGAUGGGGAGGGUUUUGAUGAGCAGGGAUGAAUCAGAAGUUAUUUUUCCUUAUUGUGGAUUUGCUCCAAUGAUUCUGGAACCCUCGAGGAGGUGAGGUUUCCAUCAAAUGAUUUUACAAUUUGUUUGGUCUCAACAAUGGGUGGUAGUAAUCUGCACUCCUACUGCCAAGUGUAGAGCUAUGCUGGUAGAUUGUAGAGAGAAAUUUAUCUUCGAACAAGGCUACCAAGGAAGCAUCAGGGCAAAUAUAUCUAUUGCAGUUGAGAUAGUUUGUUUUAAUUCUAAUAUGUCAAGCUUCUGAUAGUUCACUGUGUACAUUGGUUUGGUGACUUGAUAUUUGUUGAAUGUAGUAAUAAGCACCAUAUACGACACAUAAGUUCUUGUUUUUUC
Long non-coding RNA from Hordeum vulgare subsp. vulgare (domesticated barley), 1503 nucleotides. RefSeq lists it as uncharacterized. The record is from RefSeq and is a predicted model, not a curated record. Lineage: Eukaryota; Viridiplantae; Streptophyta; Magnoliopsida; Poales; Poaceae. The transcript is spliced from 6 exons.